AAGGGGGGUUCAUGAAUUUGAACUCCAUGCGACUCUCUGACGACUGGUUUGGCCUUCUGGUAGACUUGCUUAGUUGAUCGAGGAAGCAAAAGCCAGGUCAAACGUCGGCUUUGAUAAGCAACCGUGCCUAGCUCGGGCUGCGACUGAGAGCUCCGCCCCGACUUCGUCUCCGUGCGACUCGGACGGGCGGGAGAGAAGUGGAGCCAUCGUGAUAGUGAAUGCAUGAAACCAUAGACCCUGGCUCUCCCCUUUUCGACUUCCCCUUUGAUCUGCCUCUGCUCUUCUUCCUAGUGGAAGAAGAAUAAGAAGACGAAAGGGGAGAGAGGCGACUUUCCCGUCAGAAUAGGGUUAUGAGGGGUAACGCUCCGACGAGGGGGUUCACCUUCGUAGGCCUAGUUAUCAUGAUGGUCAUUGGUUGUACAGUCUACUUGAAGCUCUGGAGUGUCAGUUCUUACAUCUCCUUGCGAGAUGCAGAAAUCAUGAGGUCAUCUCUCUCUCUCCCCCCCCACUCUGUCUCAUGAAUAAACAGAAUCCUGGAUGCUUGAUUAGGACUCGCAGAUCGCAAUUCGAGCGCGCCCAAAAUGAAGCUUUGGACGAAUCGGCCGAGUGGAGGAUGAAAUAUGACGAAGAAGUGCAGAGAUCUGGCAAGUACCUGCAGGAAUUGGUUCGAGUGAGAGAAGAACUUGAGAAGAAGAUAGAGGAAACUGAGAAAUCAAAAAGUGACCUAGCCGUUCUGCAAAAGGAAAAGCAGAGCCUGCAUAAAAGGACGGAGUCUUUGUUGCAUGAGCUUCAAUCUGUGAAGAUGAAAUGCCAUAUAUGAGAGACCUUAGAUAGAUGGUCGUGCAGCUUGGGAUUCUGUAACGAUAAAGGACAACAUGGAGCAAUCCAGGAGCAACUUGCAAGUGGCUCUAUUCCAUACCUGUAGGUGCAAUGUGCAGGGGGUUCGUUUUCUAUGUUGGCGGUGGGAUGAUAGAUGUUACAUACUAUCUGUCAGCAUGGGAUGAGGUGUCUUUGGUUGUCUAGAUAUGGCAGCUUGAAAUCUUUUUCGUUGAUGCAUGUCAUCUCGAAACUUUUUCUUGUCCAUACAUGUCUGCUGUUGGCAGUCCUAAUUUUUGUGCCUUAUCCGAUUGAUGCGAUGAUUACCCCGACAUGGAAAGUUCAAUUCAUGUCAGGUUGUAACAUGGUGCCUCAUCUUUCAUCUAAGGUUCAGUGCUGUUGAGCUAGGUUAGAAGAAACGUAAAGAACAGCUUCUAAUUCACGAAGAAACCUUUGAUGGUCUGGACCAGGGCCGGUCCAUGUCCUGUUUCUGUAGUAACAAUUAUUUCCCCCCUAUAUUUAUUAUUACCAUUUCAUCAUGUUA
Nymphaea colorata (pocket water lily) is the source of this 1360-nucleotide RNA transcript. RefSeq lists it as uncharacterized. The record is from RefSeq and is a predicted model, not a curated record. The transcript has 5 exons. Lineage: Eukaryota; Viridiplantae; Streptophyta; Magnoliopsida; Nymphaeales; Nymphaeaceae.